This 330-nucleotide ribosomal RNA is filed under the name uncultured eukaryote. RNAcentral describes it as "partial 18S ribosomal RNA". It matches the Rfam family "Eukaryotic small subunit ribosomal RNA", at positions 1470 to 1796 of the family's 1831-position model. The record is from RNAcentral.
CCCUUAGAUGUCCGGGGCUGCACGCGCGCUACACUGAAUGAAUCAGCGUGCUAGAAAACCUUGUUUGACAUGGCUAGGUAACCCAUUGAAAAUCAUUCGUGAUUGGGAUCGGGACUUGCAAAUGUGUCCCUUGAACGAGGAAUUCCCAGUAAGUGCGGGUCAUCAGCUCGCGUUGAUUACGUCCCUGCCCUUUGUACACACCGCCCGUCGCUGCCCGGAACUGAGCCGUUUCGAGAAGACUGAGGACUGCUGACUUGAGGCCUUCACGGGCUUCUAGUCGGUGAAAAUCAAUUUAAUCGCAGCGGCUUGAACCGGGCAAAAGUCGUAACA